UUUUAAUUAGUAUAAUAGUACAACUACCUUCCAAGUAGGAGGUCUUUAGAGGUUAUAAU
RNAcentral lists this transfer RNA (59 nucleotides) under Camaena poyuensis. RNAcentral's name for it is "tRNA-Gly". Lineage: Eukaryota; Metazoa; Mollusca; Gastropoda; Stylommatophora; Camaenidae. The record is from RNAcentral.